CGUCACUAGACUUGGCAGUUCAGAGACAUCAAACCUGACUUCUCUGAAUGAUCAACAGUGACCUCUGUCCAGUCAUAGUUUUAGCAGCCUUCUGGAGCCUGCCAGUCCGAAGUAACUGAGUCAGACACAUCAGAGAUAGAUUGCAGGGAAACCAGGGAGCUCAAAAUAACCUCGGUGCUCCUGAAAUAAGAAUGGCCAACCGUUGAGAAUGGCACAGCUUUCAUUCUGGAAGAGAUUUGAUGUAAACUGACCAGUUAAUCAUUUGUUCUAUGGCUCAGCUCCACUCCAUUGAGAAUUUUGUUGGAUAUGAUGUGCAACAUUAAUUUGGGAAAUACUGAAACAAAGACAGAGCUUUGCAAUGAUACUACGUUUUGGAGCUGCUGGCUGGAAUCACAGCUUACAUGCAAUUGCAAUUGAAGGGGUCAAGUUACAGCUGGCAGCCAAAUUUCCAUCCUACACUCAGGAAUAAUUAUAAUUGAAUUUUAAAACCAGAUACUUCUCACUAGCUUGAUUUAAGGAUUUUUGAUUACAUUUUCAAAAUAUACCAAUGAAUUUGAAUUGGUAAAAUAUUUUAUUAUUGUCACAUGUACUGAGGUAAAAUGUAAAACUUUGUUUUGCCUGCCAUCCAUUGAGAUCAUAUUAUUUCAUCAGUAUCUCAAGGUAGGACAAAUGAAUAGGAAUAAAAGAAAGCAGAAAAUAGCAUAACAGUAACAAAGAAAGUACAGUGCAGGCAAACAAUAAUGUCAAAUAAGACCAUAAAGAUUUAGACUAUGAGGUCAAGAGUCCAUCUUAUUGUAUUAGGGGACAAUUCAGUAAUCUUAUAACUAUAGGUAGAAAUUAACUUCACCCUGGUAGUACAUGCUUUCAGGUUUUUGUAUCUUCUGCCCAGUUUGUAGAGUAGAGAAAAGAAGAAUGAAUGUCUGGAGUGGGAAAGGACUUCGAUUAUGUUGCAAACAGGAGGAAAUCUGCAGAUGCUGGAAACUGAAGCAACACACACAAAAUGCUGGUGGAACGCAGCAGGCAGGCGGCAUCUAUAGAGAGAAGCGCUGUCAACAUUUUGGGCCGAGACCCUUCGUCAGGACUGAUUAUGUUGCUGCUUUUCUGAGGCAUUGAGAAGUGUGGGAGAAUAUCAUGAAUGGGGCAUUGGUUAUUGUAAAGGACAGAACUGCCUCCACAAAUCUCUGUAUUUCCUUAAGUAUAGC
Molecule: long non-coding RNA, 1202 nt
Organism: Hypanus sabinus (Atlantic stingray)
Lineage: Eukaryota; Metazoa; Chordata; Chondrichthyes; Myliobatiformes; Dasyatidae
Exons: 3
Source: RefSeq, a predicted model, not a curated record